This is an unclassified non-coding RNA of Pongo abelii (Sumatran orangutan), 148 nucleotides long. It matches the Rfam family "Metazoan signal recognition particle RNA". Rfam says of the family: The signal recognition particle (SRP) is a universally conserved ribonucleoprotein. It is involved in the co-translational targeting of proteins to membranes. The eukaryotic SRP consists of a 300-nucleotide 7S RNA and six proteins: SRPs 72, 68, 54, 19, 14, and 9. Lineage: Eukaryota; Metazoa; Chordata; Mammalia; Primates; Hominidae. The record is from Ensembl.
GCUGGGUAUGGCAGUGUAUGCCUGUAGUCCCAGUUACUUGGGAGGCUGAGACAGGAGAAUUGCUUGAACCCAGGAGGCAGAAGUUGCAGUGAGCCCAGAUUGGGCCACUGCACUCCAGCUUGGGUGACAGAGCGAGACUCUGUCUCAA